This is a small nucleolar RNA of Pristis pectinata (smalltooth sawfish), 93 nucleotides long. RefSeq annotates it as small nucleolar RNA SNORD125. The transcript has a single exon. NCBI's taxonomy places the organism in Eukaryota, Metazoa, Chordata, Chondrichthyes, Rhinopristiformes, Pristidae. The record is from RefSeq and is a predicted model, not a curated record.
AUUUUUAGCAGUCUCUGAUGAUGAUUCAUCCAUAUAUGACAAUUAUAUGAUAGUUCAAACCUCUAAGAAGUUGACUGAAGAGGCUGCUAAUUU